AUUGAACGCUGGCGGCAUGCCUUACACAUGCAAGUCGAACGGUAACGGGCCUUCGGGUGCCGACGAGUAGCGAACGGGUGAGUAAUACAUCGGAACGUGCCCGAUCGUGGGGGAUAACGAGGCGAAAGCUUUGCUAAUACCGCAUACGAUCUACGGAUGAAAGCAGGGGACCGCAAGGCCUUGCGCGGACGGAGCGGCCGAUGGCAGAUUAGGUAGUUGGUGGGAUAAAAGCUUACCAAGCCGACGAUCUGUAGCUGGUCUGAGAGGAUGAUCAGCCACACUGGGACUGAGACACGGCCCAGACUCCUACGGGAGGCAGCAGUGGGGAAUUUUGGACAAUGGGCGCAAGCCUGAUCCAGCCAUGCCGCGUGCAGGAUGAAGGCCUGCGGGUUGUAAACUGCUUUUGUACGGAACGAAAAGCCUUCUUUUAAUACAGGAGGGUCAUGACGGUACCGUAAGAAUAAGCACCGGCUAACUACGU
RNAcentral lists this ribosomal RNA (481 nucleotides) under uncultured bacterium. RNAcentral's name for it is "partial 16S ribosomal RNA". It matches the Rfam family "Bacterial small subunit ribosomal RNA", at positions 30 to 506 of the family's 1533-position model. The record is from RNAcentral.